GCAUAUCAAUAAGCGGAGGAAAAGAAACCAACAGGGAUUGCCCUAGUAACGGCGAGUGAAGCGGCAACAGCUCAAAUUUGAAAUCUGCCUUCGGGCCGAGUUGUAAUUUGUAGAGGAAGCUUUUGGUGAGGCACCUUCUGAGUCCCCUGGAACGGGGCGCCAUAGAGGGUGAGAGCCCCGUAUAGUCGGAUGCCGAUCCAAUGUAAAGCUCCUUCGACGAGUCGAGUAGUUUGGGAAUGCUGCUCAAAAUGGGAGGUAAAUUUCUUCUAAAGCUAAAUACCGGCCAGAGACCGAUAGCGCACAAGUAGAGUGAUCGAAAGAUGAAAAGCACCUUGAAAAGGGGGUUAAAUAGCACGUGAAAUUGUUGAAAGGGAAGCGUUUGCGGCCAGACUUGCGCCGCCCCGAUCAUCCGGUGUUCUCACCGGUGCACUCGGGGCGGCGCAGGCCAGCAUCGGUUUCGGCGGGGGGAUAAAGGCCCGGGGAACGUAGCUCCUUCGGGAGUGUUAUAGCCCCGGGCGUAAUGCCCUCGCCGGGACCGAGGUUCGCGCAUCUGCAAGGAUGCUGGCGUAAUGGCCGCCAACGACCCGUCUUGAAACACGGACCAAGGAGUCAAGGUUUUGCGCGAGUGUUUGGGUGUAAAACCCGCACGCGUAAUGAAAGUGAACGUAGGUGAGAGCUUCGGCGCAUCAUCGACCGAUCCUGAUGUAUUCGGAUGGAUUUGAGUAAGAGCGUUAAGCCUUGGACCCGAAAGAUGGUGAACUAUGCUUGGAUAGGGUGAAGCCAGAGGAAACUCUGGUGGAGGCUCGCAGCGGUUCUGACGUGCAAAUCGAUCGUCAAAUCUGAGCAUGGGGGGCGAAAGACUAAUCGAACCAUCUAGUAGCUGGUUACCGC
RNAcentral lists this ribosomal RNA (891 nucleotides) under Neurospora hapsidophora. RNAcentral describes it as "LSU rRNA". It matches the Rfam family "Eukaryotic large subunit ribosomal RNA", at positions 38 to 961 of the family's 3401-position model. Lineage: Eukaryota; Fungi; Ascomycota; Sordariomycetes; Sordariales; Sordariaceae. The record is from RNAcentral.